AUAAAGUGACUGGAAAUGAAAAAAAAAGGAAGGAAAAGCAGCGGACUGACUCGGCAUCUCUUUGGCCUUUUUCUUCUGUGUUUGUUUUCUACUCUCUCUCUCUCUCUCUC
Molecule: non-coding RNA, 110 nt
Filed under: uncultured Chlorophyceae
Lineage: Eukaryota; Viridiplantae; Chlorophyta; Chlorophyceae
Source: RNAcentral